Molecule: long non-coding RNA, 1173 nt
Filed under: Oryctolagus cuniculus (rabbit)
Lineage: Eukaryota; Metazoa; Chordata; Mammalia; Lagomorpha; Leporidae
Description: lncRNA (ENSOCUG00000031522.1)
Source: RNAcentral
UUUGUCCCUUCCUGUCGCUGCUGUAAAGGAUGGCACUUUGUCCCUCGGUGUCCCCUCCCUGAGGCCCGGGCCCGCGCCCCGCCGUCCCCGCCCGCGCUCUCACAGGCCCCGCCCCGCCCCACGCGGGGUUCCCCUCAGCGCGCGCGCCUCCCCCGCCGUCGGGGCGUCGGCUUCUGCUCCGGGCUCCGGGCUCCGUCCCGCGCUGGCGGGGCACGUGCGGGUGCGGCCUCCGGCGCGGGGCAAGGCCGCGGAGGGCAGGGACGGGCGGCGGGGGCGGGGGCGGCGCUGCGGCCGCGCCCUUCCCGCGCUCGGCCCUCGUCGGCUUUCGGCGUCGUCCGACCGCACAGCAGCCUUCCGAGGGCGCCAGGGUUUCAGGUGCGUGAGGCGCGGGGGGGCCCCUCCCCUCUCCUCUCCUCCCCGGGAGCGUUAGAAAGAGGGGGCGUCCUCCAGGGAGCCCGGGGCGCCCCGCCGAGAGGGCCCUGGCGGCUAAAGCAUGCGAGGAAGGAACCUGAGGCCUCCGAAGGAAGUCGGGGUGCCCGCGGGCCUGGCUUAAAGGAGACCGGCGUCGCCCCGCGGCUGCAGCCGAAUUCUUGGCUUCAGUUCCAGGCACUGCCCUCUGUCUGCAAGGCAAGGUCCAUGCCCAUACCCCCUCCCGAGGGUGGUCCCCUUAACCUCCGUCCCAGACAGGCUCCCAGGGUGGGGGCGGGGAGCCUCGGGGCUCCGAGGCCAGGGGACUGGCGCGUCAUUGGCGACUGUCACCCUGCCACCGCUGCUUCUGGGGCCAGGGCCUCGCUUGGUGGACCCCAGGGUCCCACAGAGGCCUCCCUGCACCCUGGGGGUCCUCAGACUCUCCUGCUCCGGCCCCCUGAGGUUCUGGGAGUCAGAGUCAGGUCCCAGCAUGCAGGAGAGACCCUCCGGGGUGCUGCGGUCCGGGCAGCUACUGGGCCAAACCCUCUGCUGCCCUCUUGCCUUACUGGCUUCAGAAGUGCGCAGAGAGGGGUUAUGGCAAAAGGAAACCAGUUCUUCGGGUUCCUGGUGUUGCCCUGGUUACGUUCCUCUUCUGGAUGCCACCUCCUUAGCCUGGCCUCUCGAGCUUUCCUGGGGCCUGGGCUGAGGGGCGGUCAAGUUGGGCUGUUCCGAUGGAGUCCUUUAUGGACGGUCCGGGUUACCUGA